RNAcentral lists this long non-coding RNA (2086 nucleotides) under Numida meleagris (helmeted guineafowl). RNAcentral describes it as "lncRNA (ENSNMEG00000020490.1)". Lineage: Eukaryota; Metazoa; Chordata; Aves; Galliformes; Numididae. The record is from RNAcentral.
AUGGGCCAUCCUCACCCAGGGCUCCGAGAAGUGCAGACGUCCCUGCCCGCUCCCUGCCUCUGGCAGCGCCGAGGUCUGCUCACACGCAAGGAGCUGAUGGGCUGUAGGCUCCGAGCCCUGAUCCCUUCCCAGCACACCCCAUGGAGAAACUCAUCCUGCACGAAUGUGCUGCUAUUCGCAGAAAACGGAGGCCUUGACAAAGCUGGAGCGGUUGCUGUAAGUGGUAAGGAAAUACUGUAAUUAUGUAGGACCGUGUGUUGCGUAACUGUGCUAUAAAGGGUUUUCAAGAGGGGCUUUCCGCCUCCUGUUUGUUCUCUCAUAGGCAGUCCGAUCACGGUCACCUAAAGCUUUCUGUGUAAGAAACUCAAGCAAUUUCCUUUGAGCGUCCAUUUGUGGCUUGUUAUUUUACAAAGGGACCUGGUUCCAUUCCAUCGCCCUUCCCGGCCACUUCCUCCAAAUUCCCAAGGAAGCUGUCACCGGGAAGCAGCAGGUGAUGGCCUCCAGCCCUCCCUGUGCCUUGGGCUCCACAAACCUCCCCAGCACGGAAGGUUGCAGCCCCUGCCCAUAGAUGCCCACCUCCUCCAAAGGGACCUGCCAGGGACAGGUCACGCACAAUGCCCUGAAUUAAUCUGGGGGAGUAGAAAAGGCCGUGUGCUGUCCCAGCCUUGGUGGCACAGCGGUGACCUGCACCCACCAGCGGUGAUGUGGGCAGGGUGGGAGGAGCCCGGGGCUGAUGGAUGUCUGCUGCAGGGGCCCCUAUGCACUGAGUGUUGGCUCUGACCCAGUGAAUAUCAGCCCCUUUGUCAGUGUGGCUUUUUGGGUCGGGCCAGAAACAGGAAUGGAUUGCUUGUGAAAUUUCCCAGGUAUUUGCUUUGUAGUCACUGAAUACAAAACCUAUCCGGUUGCUAAUGGAACAGGGAUGUUUCUGAGCACAAUGCAGCUCUUGCUUUUGUUUUGCUUUCCAUAGCCCAGCAUUCUGUGACAUAUAAAACCACCCCAUUUGUUUUUCAUUGCCUGUAAGUAAAUUCCCCUACAAGACCACCGCGGCGCAGAUAUUACAUGGAAGCCAGCCCUGCUCCCAGCCACGUCUCCUGGCCCCAGCGACUUUCUUCUCAGAUCUUUGGUCCCCAGCUCAGCUCCCCGUGCUGGGAAUGAAGUCAUCGCUCCCCAAAGGGCUCCACACAUUACUGUGCUAUUAAAGUUGUGCCAGCGUUUUCUUCACAAGCUUCAGUUCCCACCGUCAUUAGUGGAACGAUGUCCUGUGCCUUGUCGACUUGGGGCCCUAAAUGGAGUUCACUUCAGGGUAAUGCUGAGGACACCUGUUGUUUUCUAAUUGUGGAAGGAAUCAUAUAUUCCUCUUGCUGUGAUUGCCAAGGAAAAAAUGGUAAGGUUUUCUUAGGUAUAAGUUUUCUGCUUUUUGCUCUAGGAUUGGGUAUUCACAAAGAGCUUUGCUGAGAAGAGUGUAUGUAAGCCAAAUGCCACCUCUGGUGUAAAACUAGUGUCAGUGUAUGUGUGACCAGAGAAACAAGAUGGUCCCAUUAAGAAAAUCUGUUCCCCCUCUUACUGUAUCCAGUGGGGUUCUUUCACUGAACUCAGAUAUCUUGAUUCAUUUGAGUUGGACCAAUGAAGACACAGUCAUGACUGAAUUCAGGGCAGCAGCGAUGCUCUGCAGAACCUGGGCUUCCAAUCACUUCAGAUAAAUGUUUUAUUGAAGUGAAUUGAUCUUCUGCUUUGCUGUAUCCGCUCUCCCUCCCCACAGUUCUCAAGGAAGCAGAAUACAGAGCUGCUGAAGUCCAACAGAUUUGCAAUUAGUGCCGUGGAUAAUCUCUCAUGAACGUGUGAUGCUUCCGAACGCUCUGCAACCAGUUUAUAAGGCCACUGAUUUAUAAAUCAGCUUGCAGAGCUCAGAUCUGGGGAUAAGGGCACCUGGUGAUUUCAGGCUGCCCUGUGUUCAUCACCAGCCCAGCCCCAUGCCCCUGGCUUGCUGCUGAGGGAGCUGUGCAAGCACAACCACCUCCCAGGGACAGCCUCUUUGUUCUGGAGUCUGGUCCCCAAAUAAACCUCAGCAUUCUGUGCUGUUAGCUCA